GUUCCUGUAGUAGCGGGUAUACAGAGGAUCCCUUGAGACCAAACAGCGAUGAAGGACGUGGCGUGACUGCGAUAAGCGUCGGCGAGGCGUCGAGCGGCCUGCGACCCGGCGAUGUCCGAAUGAGGAAACUCACUGGAAGUCAUGUUCCAGUAUCACGUGUAUGGGAAACUGUGCGCGUGGAGCAUACCUGGGGAAGUGAAACAUCUCAUUACCCAGAGGAAAAGAAAGCAAUAAUCCAUCCUUCGGGAUGGUGUGCGUAUUCCCUGAGUAGCGGCGAGCGAAACGGGAGAAGUCUAAACCAGUCGAUUUAUUUCGACUGGGGUUGAGGCGCAAAAAACGUAAUCGCACUUCUGUCGUGUCGAGUGAUUGAUUCGUCAAUCGCGAGGCGACGGAUAGUCUGAUUACGGAUCAAGAGGGUCGAAAAAGUAUUUUCGGUAGCCGAAGGACCCCUGGAACGGGCGUGCCAAAGAGGGUAAUAGCCCCGUAGGCGAAACUGAAAAUCUACCUUCGAUUGUGUUCUAGAGUAGGGCCGUGCCAGCUGCACGGUUUGAAGGCGGGAGUACUGUCUCCUAAGACUAAAUAUGUUUGGCCAUCGAUAGCGAACAAGUACCGUGAGGGAAAGGUGAAAAGAACCCCGGAAGGGGAGUGAAAUAGACUGUGAAACUGUAUACCUACAACAAGUCGGAGCCCAAGAUUCGUUCUGGGUGACGGCGUGCCUUUUGCAAAAUGAGCCAACGACUUUUAGGGCAUUCCAAGUCUAAGCCGUGACAAAACGGCGGAGGCGUAGGGAAACCGAGUAUGAAUAGUGCGUCUAGGAAUGUUUUAAAGACCCGAAGCCAGGCGAUCCAUCCAUGAGCAGGGUGAGUGCUGGGUAACACCAGCAGGAGGCCCGAACCAGUUGAUCGUGCAAUAUCAUUGGAUGACUUGUGGAUAGUGGUGAAAAGUCAAUCGCGCCUGGGAAUAGCUGGUUCUCUCCGAAACAGCUUUGCGGCUGGCGUUGUGUGAAUCACUCCGGAGGUAGAGCACUGACUAACGGAAGGUGGCCAAUGGCCUACUUUUGUUUAUCAAACUCCGAAUACCGGAAGUGUAUGCACAGCAGUUAGACUACGGGGGCUAAGCUCCGUGGUCGUGAGGUUAAUAGGCCAGACCAUCGCUUAAGGUCCCAAAAUCUAUACUAAGUGGGAAAGGAGGUGGAAUUUCUCCGACAUCUGGGAGGUUGGCUUAGAAGCAGCCAUCCUUUAAAGAGUGCGUAAUAGCUCACCAGCCAAGAGAUUUUGCGCCGAAAAUGUAACGGGGCUAAGUAUAGUACCGAAGGCAUGGGUGCGUGUUGUGCUUCGGCAUAACAUGCGCGGUAGGAGAGCGUUCGCAUUGCGCUGAAGCCGGACCCGCGAGGGCCGGUCGAGCGAUGUGAAGUGAGAAUGUUGGUACGAGUAACCACAAGGGAAGUAAAAUCCUUCCCCGCCGAAAGUCCAAGGUUUCCAUGGCAAUGGCGAUCAUCCAUGGGUUAGUCGGUCCUAAGGUGAACCCGAACGGGGUAGCUGAUGGACAGCAGGUUAAUAUUCCUGCACCACUUGUGUAUGCGAAGGAGCGACGCAUGUUAGUAGUGUGUGCCUCUUAUCGGAUUGAGGUCCGGUGUAUAGGGAGGAAGCGUUGGAAAAUCCGCGCUUCUGUGCUUCGAGCACGACUCCGAGUGCAUCGGGGACGUUCCUGCUUGCAGGAGCAAACGCACAUGAGCAAUGGGCCUAGAAAAACUUCUAAGCAUAAUACACAGGUGACCGUACCGCAAAACCGAAACAGGUGGACAGGUCGAGUAGACCAAGGCGAACGAGUGAAAGCUGGAUAAGGAACUCGGCAAAAAAGCGGCCGUAACUUUGGGAUAAGGCCUGCCUGGUGCGUGCUUGCACGUGCUGGGCCGCAGCUAAAGAUUUCAAGCGACUGUUUAUCAAAAACACAGGUCCCUGCUAACUCGUAAGAGGAUGUAUAGGGGCUGACGCCUGACCAGUGCCGAAAGGUUAAGAAACGCCGGUGCAUUGUGAUUUAUCAUGGUGUGCUGGAGUUCGAAGCCCCGGUAAACGUCAGCGAUAACUAUAAACAACAUUGUAGUUACAAAACUUGGCUAUAUGCUGGGAUCUCCCACGUAUCCUGUAUUGGCAACGAUACCGGUGGGGACAAUCAGCAGGGAAGUCACGGUUUCGUGAAGGCGCGCAUAGUGUGCGUUGCACGUGUUGUGACCCCUCAGAGACUAUACGCCGAGCCCUUCUGUAAUAAUUGCGAUAACCGUCGUUAUGCAAGGGAUGAUAUAGUCCGACCCUUAUGGCGACAUAAGGAGACUGACAGAAAUGUCCAGUCCGUGCGAGCAUGCCUGACAGCGCAAUUUUUGGCGCAGAAGGUAUGUUGCAUAGUAACAAACGUGAAUCGUUCUAAGGUAAAAAGUGCCCAGGAAUGCACUGCUGCCUUAGUAAAAUCUGGCUAUAUGCUGGAAACUCCGGAGAAUCUGGUGUUACGCAACGUGUUUGGAAAGUGUAUGGAACUAUGGUAGAAUGAUACAAUAUGACCAAACCAUUACGUGAAAAAACAACCAGUGUGUACGCUUUAGGGCGUGCGCCGGACAAUCAGCAGGAAAGAUUUCGAUCUCCGCUGAAUUUGCGAUGGCUUGAUAAUAUUCCAUCAUCAAUCGGAUAUUAUUUAGCUGGAUUUGCAGAUGGCGAAGGAAGUUUUACCGCUUCAUUGAGAAAGAAACGUGAUUACAAAAAUGAAUGGCAGAUAUCUCUGGCAUUCAAUGUUGCUCAACGCGAUGUAAGUACGCUUAAAUUAUUUAAGCAGCACUUGAAGUGCGGGCGACUACAAUGUCGAAGUGAUGGUGUCCACUACUUUGUAGUGGGGGAUUAUCCCUCGCUACAGAACCACGUAGUCCCAUUUUUCGACAGAUAUCAAAUUCUUUCAGAAAAUAAGCGUAAGAACUUUCUAAUCUUCAAAAAGAUUACUUCCCUUGUCUACCAAAAGAAACAUUUAACUCACAACGGGAUGAAGACAGUUUUAGAAUUACGAGAGGAGUUAAAUAAAGGUAAGGGUAGAAAAAGAAAGUAUUUUAUCGGAGACGUGAUCGAAGAAUCCUCAACGACCACACGCCGGACUCGUUCUAUCGAACGAGAAGAUAUGGUCUGAGCUCUAUGGUGACAUAGAGAGUAAGACGGAAACGAAUCUUACCACUUCAAACAUUGAAGUAGUAACAAAUCUAAGCGAAAUUCCUAGAAACCGACUGGGACCCUCAAUGGGUAACCAUGAGCGGAAAACUUGGCUAUAUGCUGGGAACUCCCGUGUAUCUACUACUGGAAACGGUAGUAGUGGGGACAAUCAGCAGGGAAGUUCUGUCUUCUAUCUAAAGAAUCAGAACCCCUCAACGACUACACGCCAGGAUCCUUAUAUAAUAAGGAAUGUGAUAUAGUCUGAACUGCAUGGCGACAUGCAGAGUCUGGCUCGCGCUAGGCCGCCUCAUUAUAUGAGGUCAGUUCAGCGAGUUGCUGAACGAAAGUAACAGUUUGUGUCGGGUAAGCCUGUCGGGGCAAGCCCGUAGGUGGCUUAUAACGGUGAAGCCGUCAGUUAUUAUGAUGUUUGGAAAAUGUAUGGUAUAAUGACUCGGUAAUACCGUGGGAAGUCGUGUUACGCACAGUAACAUUGACCCCGUAACGACUUAACGUAAUCGUUAGGUAGCGAACAGAAAUGGCAGUGAGUAUAUCGCUACAAUACGCCGCCCAGUAUGUGCAAUAGUGAUAAACGCACAACAACACAUACUGAAGAUAUAGUCUGUGCCGCUGGAAACAGCGGAGUAGAGACCACGAAGUUCCGACGCGCAUGAAAGGCGUAACGACUUGAAAACUGUCUCAUCCAGCUGCUCGGUGAAAAUCCAAUUGUCAGUGAAGAUGCUGACUACUCGCAGUUAGACGGAAAGACCCCAGGAGCUUCACUGUAAGCUGCUAUUGGGCCUCAUGUUUGCAUGCGUAGCAUAGUGGGGAGACUUUGAAGGUUCCAUUCUGGUGGAACUGGAGUCGCCAAUGAAAUACCCAUCUUGUGAUUGUGUUGUCCUAACCUCGUUCGUGUGAAAAGCACAACAGGAACAGUGGCAGCCUGGCAGUUUGAGUGGGGCGCUCUUCUCCUAAAGAGUAACGGAGAAGUCUCAAGGUCGGCUAGCUACGGAUGGAAAUCGUAGCGAUAGUGCAAAGGCAUAAGCCGGCUUUACUGCAAGACCUACAAGUCGCGCAGUUGCGAAANNNNNNNNNNNNNNNNNNNNNNNNNNCUUAGUGAACCGAAGGUGCUCAAUAGAAUGGGCCCAAGACACCAAAUAAAAGUUACCCUGGGGAUAACAAAUGUUGUCCCGUUCCGAUAGUAAUAUCGGGACAAGUAUUC
Molecule: non-coding RNA, 4404 nt
Organism: Parcubacteria group bacterium
Lineage: Bacteria
Source: Rfam